This 2924-nucleotide ribosomal RNA is filed under the name Salmonella enterica subsp. enterica serovar Newport. Its description in RNAcentral is "bacterial LSU rRNA". It matches the Rfam family "Bacterial large subunit ribosomal RNA". The record is from RNAcentral. Lineage: Bacteria; Pseudomonadati; Pseudomonadota; Gammaproteobacteria; Enterobacterales; Enterobacteriaceae.
GGGUUGUGAGGUUAAGCGACUAAGCGUACACGGUGGAUGCCCUGGCAGUCAGAGGCGAUGAAGGACGUGCUAAUCUGCGAUAAGCGCCGGUAAGGUGAUAUGAACCGUUAUAACCGGCGAUUUCCGAAUGGGGAAACCCAGUGUGAUUCGUCACACUAUCAUUAACUGAAUCCAUAGGUUAAUGAGGCGAACCGGGGGAACUGAAACAUCUAAGUACCCCGAGGAAAAGAAAUCAACCGAGAUUCCCCCAGUAGCGGCGAGCGAACGGGGAGGAGCCCAGAGCCUGAAUCAGCAUGUGUGUUAGUGGAAGCGUCUGGAAAGGCGCGCGAUACAGGGUGACAGCCCCGUACACAAAAGCGCAUGUGCUGUGAGCUCGAUGAGUAGGGCGGGACACGUGGUAUCCUGUCUGAAUAUGGGGGGACCAUCCUCCAAGGCUAAAUACUCCUGACUGACCGAUAGUGAACCAGUACCGUGAGGGAAAGGCGAAAAGAACCCCGGCGAGGGGAGUGAAAAAGAACCUGAAACCGUGUACGUACAAGCAGUGGGAGCACAGGUUUACCUGUGUGACUGCGUACCUUUUGUAUAAUGGGUCAGCGACUUAUAUUCUGUAGCAAGGUUAACCGAAUAGGGGAGCCGGAGGGAAACCGAGUCUUAAUUGGGCGUUAAGUUGCAGGGUAUAGACCCGAAACCCGGUGAUCUAGCCAUGGGCAGGUUGAAGGUUGGGUAACACUAACUGGAGGACCGAACCGACUAAUGUUGAAAAAUUAGCGGAUGACCUGUGGCUGGGGGUGAAAGGCCAAUCAAACCGGGAGAUAGCUGGUUCUCCCCGAAAGCUAUUUAGGUAGCGCCUCGUGAACUCAUCUCCGGGGUAGAGCACUGUUUCGGCUAGGGGGCCAUCCCGGCUUACCAACCCGAUGCAAACUGCGAAUACCGGAGAAUGUUAUCACGGGAGACACACGGCGGGUGCUAACGUCCGUCGUGAAGAGGGAAACAACCCAGACCGCCAGCUAAGGUCCCAAAGUCAUGGUUAAGUGGGAAACGAUGUGGGAAGGCCCAGACAGCCAGGAUGUUGGCUUAGAAGCAGCCAUCAUUUAAAGAAAGCGUAAUAGCUCACUGGUCGAGUCGGCCUGCGCGGAAGAUGUAACGGGGCUAAACCAUGCACCGAAGCUGCGGCAGCGACACUGUGUGUUGUUGGGUAGGGGAGCGUUCUGUAAGCCUGUGAAGGUGGCCUGUGAGGGUUGCUGGAGGUAUCAGAAGUGCGAAUGCUGACAUAAGUAACGAUAAAGCGGGUGAAAAGCCCGCUCGCCGGAAGACCAAGGGUUCCUGUCCAACGUUAAUCGGGGCAGGGUGAGUCGACCCCUAAGGCGAGGCCGAAAGGCGUAGUCGAUGGGAAACAGGUUAAUAUUCCUGUACUUGGUGUUACUGCGAAGGGGGACGGAGAAGGCUAUGUUGGCCGGGCGACGGUUGUCCCGGUUUAAGCGUGUAGGCUGGUUUUCCAGGCAAAUCCGGAAAAUCAAGGCUGAGGCGUGAUGACGAGGCACUACGGUGCUGAAGCAACAAAUGCCCUGCUUCCAGGAAAAGCCUCUAAGCAUCAGGUAACAUCAAAUCGUACCCCAAACCGACACAGGUGGUCAGGUAGAGAAUACCAAGGCGCUUGAGAGAACUCGGGUGAAGGAACUAGGCAAAAUGGUGCCGUAACUUCGGGAGAAGGCACGCUGACACGUAGGUGAAGUGAUUUACUCAUGGAGCUGAAGUCAGUCGAAGAUACCAGCUGGCUGCAACUGUUUAUUAAAAACACAGCACUGUGCAAACACGAAAGUGGACGUAUACGGUGUGACGCCUGCCCGGUGCCGGAAGGUUAAUUGAUGGGGUCAGCGCAAGCGAAGCUCCUGAUCGAAGCCCCGGUAAACGGCGGCCGUAACUAUAACGGUCCUAAGGUAGCGAAAUUCCUUGUCGGGUAAGUUCCGACCUGCACGAAUGGCGUAAUGAUGGCCAGGCUGUCUCCACCCGAGACUCAGUGAAAUUGAACUCGCUGUGAAGAUGCAGUGUACCCGCGGCAAGACGGAAAGACCCCGUGAACCUUUACUAUAGCUUGACACUGAACAUUGAGCCUUGAUGUGUAGGAUAGGUGGGAGGCUUUGAAGCGUGGACGCCAGUCUGCGUGGAGCCGACCUUGAAAUACCACCCUUUAAUGUUUGAUGUUCUAACGUGGACCCGUAAUCCGGGUUGCGGACAGUGUCUGGUGGGUAGUUUGACUGGGGCGGUCUCCUCCUAAAGAGUAACGGAGGAGCACGAAGGUUGGCUAAUCCUGGUCGGACAUCAGGAGGUUAGUGCAAUGGCAUAAGCCAGCUUGACUGCGAGCGUGACGGCGCGAGCAGGUGCGAAAGCAGGUCAUAGUGAUCCGGUGGUUCUGAAUGGAAGGGCCAUCGCUCAACGGAUAAAAGGUACUCCGGGGAUAACAGGCUGAUACCGCCCAAGAGUUCAUAUCGACGGCGGUGUUUGGCACCUCGAUGUCGGCUCAUCACAUCCUGGGGCUGAAGUAGGUCCCAAGGGUAUGGCUGUUCGCCAUUUAAAGUGGUACGCGAGCUGGGUUUAGAACGUCGUGAGACAGUUCGGUCCCUAUCUGCCGUGGGCGCUGGAGAACUGAGGGGGGCUGCUCCUAGUACGAGAGGACCGGAGUGGACGCAUCACUGGUGUUCGGGUUGUCAUGCCAAUGGCACUGCCCGGUAGCUAAAUGCGGAAGAGAUAAGUGCUGAAAGCAUCUAAGCACGAAACUUGCCCCGAGAUGAGUUCUCCCUGAGACUUAGAGUCUCCUGAAGGAACGUUGAAGACGACGACGUUGAUAGGCCGGGUGUGUAAGCGCAGCGAUGCGUUGAGCUAACCGGUACUAAUGAACCGUGAGGCUUAACCUUACAACGCCGAAG